GUUCAUUCUGUUGCUCAAGUAUAUAGAUUUCUCACAGUUGACAAUGCUUAAGGUCAUACUAUUAGACCCAAGUAGCAAGUCACCGCCCAAGACCAAGGGCAAGCGUUACUCAGAUCCCUCAGGGUCUCAUACCAGGCGGAGAUGCUGAUACCUUGUGGGUGUCAGGCAGUGGGUACCAGCCUAGGAAAGGAAUAGCCUGAUCAUUAGUUUGGGGGCUCCAGCAGCCGUACCAGCAUCCUUAUCUUGUGGAUGCCCUGGGUUUUUCUGGUACUGGGCUCUUCCCUUUGGUGGCAUCUUCAGCAUCAUGGCUCAGGGCACCUAGCACUGACUACUUUUAUUCUUGCCACCCCCAUCAUAUCAGAACCGGUCCUAACCCACGGCUUGCCUGUGACGCCAGCUCUGGCUUCUGCCAGGAACCUAAUGGUCAAGCUAAUAACAGAGUGUAGGGAGUCAGUGUCCCAGGGACAGCGUAGGGAAAGGAGCCCAUGGAAGAACCCUUUGCCUGAAUCUCAGAAGGAUGAUUCCAAGAGACAUUCUGUGCUCUUCUCAGAGAACCCUAUGCAGGACCAAGGCCUCAUUCUCCUUUCUGAGUGGACAUCUUAGUAACACAACCUUUAUGCUGAUUUUCCCUCAGUUCCUUAUCCACUCCCUGGUUCUUCACUCCAGAUCCCUUUUUUCCCUGAAAAGCUUGCCGCCCAAGAACACUUUUCUCCGAUCUCUGCUUUUUGGGGUUAUAGAGGGGAUGCAGAACCCAGGUCAAGCACCUGCUAAAUCCAGUCUCAUGAAGACAAUUAUGGCCCAUAAUCACUGCAGACUUCCAAGAUGCCAGGCGCUGUGCAGAGAACUUUGUGUGAACAUCAUCUUCAAUUCUCUCCAGUGUUUUACAUGGGAAGAUGCAACACUGAUCGAGUUAAGGUCAACUCAGAGUCAGUGGGAGGAGGCGGGUGAGAGUGUUCCACAAACCGUGGGUCACUCAUCACCAUUUGCAGAUAAGCCCUGGAAAGCACCGGGAAGUACCACUUCUGUUGGAGAACAGCACACCACAAUGCCAUUGGGCCUGAUGACGUGGGCAACCUGGCCGGCAGGGACGCCUGUGAGUUCCCAGGAUGUGCUGGUUCCAUCGUCCACGAUGAAUGUGGUUGUGAUGGACGCUGGGCAGCUCUGUCCACAGUUAUUCAGAGAAGACUCAUCAUGGGUCUCAAGAUACGUAUGCAAGUCAAUCUCUCUAUCUUCCGUUUCUUCAUCCAUUCCAUCCACCUGACUGAGUGCCCUCUCAUUUAUAUAUGUCUUAAUAUUUUAUAUGCUGCAUAAAAUAUCCAAAUGCAUAUACAAUAAUUCUCUAAAUAUAGCAUAUGAUAUUUAAAUGUAUAAAAUAUAUGUAUAAACAUACCUUGUGUAUACCUCCUAUUGUCAAGUGUGGAGAAAGCUAGCAGGUACCCUCUUAACCAGUUAACCAGUCAGUUAACUAACCUCUGUCUAACUAACUAACUAAACUCUGUCAGCUAACCAGUUCUGAUGAUUUUAGACAUGUCUCUUCCACUUGGGUGUUUUCACCUUGUGCUCACAUUUAAGUUUUCAGACGCACAUGCGUGUGCUCCGGGUGUGCGUGGAGAGUCAUCAGCCAGCCUGUCAGGUUGGAUCUGAUCCCAGGGUGGUGGAAAGCCCCCCUCCUGGCCUGGCAGUGCCCGUGUGUGACUUGUGAUGAUGUAUGACUGUGCCAAGGCUUGUUAUGUCACGUCCCUUGAUAACUCUGUAUAAUUAAUGUGAUGCCAUCUGAUGCAGCAGUGGGUAGACGUUUAAGAAAUAAAAAGUUGUCCAUGCCCCGUGGAGCACAUCUGUUUAAUGGCAUAAUUCAAAUUAAUUUCAAACAAUUUCGUAAAAGCUCAUGGAGCCGUUCCACAUUUCUUCCUGAUGGCCCCCCCAGUUACCACGGCACAAGGCUCUGAAAAGCCACUCUGGAGUCUAUUCGCAUGAAGCACAUUUUUAACAAUUCUUUAUUUUUUAAAAGUUUUA
Molecule: long non-coding RNA, 2013 nt
Filed under: Capra hircus (goat)
Lineage: Eukaryota; Metazoa; Chordata; Mammalia; Artiodactyla; Bovidae
Description: lncRNA (ENSCHIG00000008207.1)
Source: RNAcentral